Molecule: ribosomal RNA, 1343 nt
Filed under: uncultured bacterium
Lineage: Bacteria
Description: 16S ribosomal RNA
Rfam family: Bacterial small subunit ribosomal RNA
Source: RNAcentral
GACGAACGCUGUCGGCGUGCUUAACACAUGCAAGUCGAACGGAAAGGCCCUGCUUUUGUGGGGUGCUCGAGUGGCGAACGGGUGAGUAACACGUGAGUAACCUGCCCUUGACUUUGGGAUAACUUCAGGAAACUGGGGCUAAUACCGGAUAGGAGCUCCUGCUGCAUGGUGGGGGUUGGAAAGUUUCGGCGGUUGGGGAUGGACUCGCGGCUUAUCAGCUUGUUGGUGGGGUAGUGGCUUACCAAGGCUUUGACGGGUAGCCGGCCUGAGAGGGUGACCGGCCACAUUGGGACUGAGAUACGGCCCAGACUCCUACGGGAGGCAGCAGUGGGGAAUAUUGCACAAUGGGCGGAAGCCUGAUGCAGCAACGCCGCGUGCGGGAUGACGGCCUUCGGGUUGUAAACCGCUUUCGCCUGUGACGAAGCGUGAGUGACGGUAAUGGGUAAAGAAGCACCGGCUAACUACGUGCCAGCAGCCGCGGUGAUACGUAGGGUGCGAGCGUUGCCCGGAUUUAUUGGGCGUAAAGGGCUCGUAGGUGGUUGAUCGCGUCGGAAGUGUAAUCUUGGGGCUUAACCCUGAGCGUGCUUUCGAUACGGGUUGACUUGAGGAAGGUAGGGGAGAAUGGAAUUCCUGGUGGAGCGGUGGAAUGCGCAGAUAUCAGGAGGAACACCAGUGGCGAAGGCGGUUCUCUGGGCCUUUCCUGACGCUGAGGAGCGAAAGCGUGGGGAGCGAACAGGCUUAGAUACCCUGGUAGUCCACGCUGUAAACGGUGGGUACUAGGUGUGGGGUCCAUUCCACGGGUUCCGUGCCGUAGCUAACGCUUUAAGUACCCCGCCUGGGGAGUACGGCCGCAAGGCUAAAACUCAAAGGAAUUGACGGGGCCCCGCACAAGCGGCGGAGCAUGCGGAUUAAUUCGAUGCAACGCGUAGAACCUUGCCUGGGUUUGACAUGGAUCGGGAGUGCUCAGAGAUGGGUGUGCCUCUUUUGGGGUCGGUUCACAGGUGGUGCAUGCCUGUCGUCAGCUCGUGUCGUGAGAUGUUGGGUUAAGUCCCGCAACGAGCGCAACCCUUGUUCACUGUUGCCAGCACGUUAUGGUGGGGACUCAGUGGAGACCGCCGGGGUCAACUCGGAGGAAGGUGGGGAUGACGUCAAGUCCUCAUGCCCCUUAUGUCCAGGGCUUCACGCAUGCUACAAUGGCUGGUACAGAGAGUGGCGAGCCUGUGAGGGUGAGCGAAUCUCGGAAAGCCGGUCUCAGUUCGGAUUGGGGUCUGCAACUCGACCUCAUGAAGUCGGAGUCGCUAGUAAUCGCAGAUCAGCAACGCUGCGGUGAAUACGUUCCCGGG